UACAACUCUGAGCGGUGGAUCACUCGGCUCGUGUGUCGAUGAAGAGUGCAGCCAACUGUGUGAAUUAAUGUGACCUGCAUACUGCUUUGAACAUCGACCUCUUGAACGCAUA
This 112-nucleotide ribosomal RNA is filed under the name Clinostomum marginatum. RNAcentral describes it as "partial 5.8S ribosomal RNA". It matches the Rfam family "5.8S ribosomal RNA", at positions 1 to 110 of the family's 154-position model. From Rfam's summary of the family: 5.8S ribosomal RNA (5.8S rRNA) is a component of the large subunit of the eukaryotic ribosome. It is transcribed by RNA polymerase I as part of the 45S precursor that also contains 18S and 28S rRNA. Lineage: Eukaryota; Metazoa; Platyhelminthes; Trematoda; Strigeidida; Clinostomidae. The record is from RNAcentral.